RNAcentral lists this ribosomal RNA (460 nucleotides) under uncultured bacterium. RNAcentral's name for it is "partial 16S ribosomal RNA". It matches the Rfam family "Bacterial small subunit ribosomal RNA", at positions 338 to 795 of the family's 1533-position model. The record is from RNAcentral.
CCUACGGGUGGCAGCAGUGAGGAAUAUUGGUCAAUGGGCGCAAGCCUGAACCAGCCACGUCGCGUGAAGGAUGACUGCCCUACGGGUUGUAAACUUCUUUUAUAAGGGAGUAAAGUGAGGCACGUGUGCCUUUUUGUCUGUACUUUAUGAAUGAGGAUCGGCUAACUCCGUGCCAGCAGCCGCGGUAAUACGGAGGAUCCGAGCGUUAUCCGGAUUUAUUGGGUUUAAAGGGAGCGUAGAUGGGGUGUUAAGUCAGUUGUGAAAGUUUGCGGCUCAACCGUAAAAUUGCAAUUGAUACUGGCAGUCUGGAGUACAGUUGAGGUAGGCGGAAUUCGUGGUGUAGCGGUGAAAUGCUUAGAUAUCACGAAGAACUCCGAUGGCGAAGGCAGCUUACUAAACAGCAACUGACAUUGAGGCUCGAAAGUGUGGGGAGCAAACAGGAUUAGAUACCCUAGUAGUC